UACGAAGGGUGCUAGCGUUGUUCGGAAUCACUGGGCGUAAAGCGUGCGUAGGCGGCUUUGUAAGUUAAUUGUGAAAUCCCCAAGCUCAACUUGGGAACUGCAAUUAAAACUGCUUAGCUAGAGUAAGGUAGGGGACAGUAGAAUUCCUAGUGUAGGGGUGAAAUCCGUAGAUACUAGGAGGAAUACCAGAAGCGAAGGCGACUGUCUGGGCCUUUACUGACGCUGAGGUACGAAAGCGUGGGGAGCAAACAGG
Molecule: ribosomal RNA, 253 nt
Filed under: uncultured bacterium
Lineage: Bacteria
Description: partial 16S ribosomal RNA
Rfam family: Bacterial small subunit ribosomal RNA
Source: RNAcentral